UACGUAGGGUGCGAGCGUUAAUCGGAAUUACUGGGCGUAAAGCGUGCGCAGGCGGUUUUGUAAGCCAGAUGUGAAAUCCCCGGGCUUAACCUGGGAACUGCAUUUGGGACUGCAAGGCUUGAGUGCGGCAGAGGAGACUGGAAUUCCUGGUGUAGCAGUGAAAUGCGUAGAUAUCAGUCGGAACACCGGUGGCGAAGGCGGCUUCUUGGGCCCUACCUGACGCUGAGGCGCGAAAGCCAGGGGAGCGAACGGG
This 253-nucleotide ribosomal RNA is filed under the name uncultured bacterium. Its description in RNAcentral is "partial 16S ribosomal RNA". It matches the Rfam family "Bacterial small subunit ribosomal RNA", at positions 524 to 776 of the family's 1533-position model. The record is from RNAcentral.